Long non-coding RNA from Symphalangus syndactylus (siamang), 776 nucleotides. RefSeq lists it as uncharacterized. Lineage: Eukaryota; Metazoa; Chordata; Mammalia; Primates; Hylobatidae. The record is from RefSeq and is a predicted model, not a curated record.
UUGUGGUGACUGAAGGGCCCAGGCAGGACUCUGGAAGCACUGGUAACAGUUUGUCACUUGAUCUGGAUGAACACCAGUGUGUUCCGUUUUGGAAAUGCUUUGAGCUGUACUUACCCUAAGUUUUCAAAAGCCUCUUAGUUUCCGGUAGGUUGUACCUGCCUUUGCAACUCUCACAGAAUCCGCCCACUUGUUCAGGCAGGGAUCGCUUGCCUUCCAUUUUUAUUAUUUCAGGCCUCGCACAUGCAAAUCUAACUGGCCAGGACUGACCGUGAAGGAGGGAGAGCUCUGGUCCAUGGGUCUCCCCUCCCCACCUGGCAGGCUUUGGUCAACAGCGCUCAGAAUGAAAGGAAGGUGGUGGUGCUGGCUUUCAAGUCUCCUCCAAACACAACAAACCCGGGUCUGCCUGUCCUCCAUUAGCUUUUGCUCAUUGGAGAGGGAUAACACAUCGCUAAGAAAAAGACUUGUUCUGAGAGUGAGGACUGCCCCCGGAUUUUGUAACCAGUUGCAACCACCUGAAAGCAGCUCUGGGGAAGAGGUCAUUGAAGAGUCUCUCCAGGUGGAAAGUGAAGUAAAUGAACUCUGGGGUGGUGUCUUCCAACUCUCACUUCCAACUCUCCUGUGUUUGUAGACUCCAUGUUCCUAAACAAGGGAAAAUACAGCCACAACCUCCAACGGACAAGAGCUUAUUCAUUCCCUUAAUUUAUCUUUAUUGAGGAUGUUCAAUGUAUAGUGUAAGAAAAGUUGAAAGUGAAUAAAGGAAGCUGAAGAUGUUUAAA